RNAcentral lists this ribosomal RNA (404 nucleotides) under uncultured bacterium. RNAcentral's name for it is "bacterial SSU rRNA". It matches the Rfam family "Bacterial small subunit ribosomal RNA", at positions 355 to 775 of the family's 1533-position model. The record is from RNAcentral.
UAGGGAAUAUUGGACAAUGGGCGAAAGCCUGAUCCAGCAACGCCGCGUGCGCGAUGACGGCCUUCGGGUUGUAAAGCGCUUUUAGAGGAGAUGAGAAAGGACAGUAUCCUCUGAAUAAGCCUCGGCGAACUACGUGCCAGCAGCCGCGGUAAAACGUAGGAGGCUAGCGUUAUUCGGAUUUAUUGGGCGUAAAGCGCGUGCAGGCGGUCUAGCAAGUUGGAUGUGAAAGCUCCUGGCUCAACUGGGAGAGGUCGUUCAAUACUGUUAGACUAGAGAAUGGGAGAGGGAGGUGGAAUUCCGGGUGUAGUGGUGAAAUGCGUAGAUAUCCGGAGGAACACCAGUGGCGAAAGCGGCCUCCUGGACCAUUUCUGACGCUAAGACGCGAAAGCUAGGGUAGCAAACGG